GCGGCAGGCUUACACAUGCAAGUCGAGGGGUAACAGGUAGGAAGCUUGCUUUCUAUGCUGACGACCGGCGCACGGGUGAGUAACGCGUAUGCAACCUACCUUUAACAGGAAGAUAGCCCCGAGAAAUCGGGAUUAAUACUCCAUAAUAAUAAUAGAUCGCAUGAUUUUUUAUUUAAAGCUUCGGCGGUUAAAGAUGGGCAUGCGUGACAUUAGUUAGUUGGUGAGGUAACGGCUCACCAAGACAACGAUGUCUAGGGGUUCUGAGAGGAUUGUCCCCCACACUGGUACUGAGACACGGACCAGACUCCUACGGGAGGCAGCAGUGAGGAAUAUUGGUCAAUGGGCGAGAGCCUGAACCAGCCAUGCCGCGUGCAGGAAGAAUGCGCUAUGCGUUGUAAACUGCUUUUCUACAGGAAGAAACCUACCCUCGUGAGGGUAGCUGCCGGUACUGUAGGAAUAAGCACCGGCUAACUCCGUGCCAGCAGCCGCGGUAAUACG
This 498-nucleotide ribosomal RNA is filed under the name uncultured Sphingobacteriia bacterium. Its description in RNAcentral is "bacterial SSU rRNA". It matches the Rfam family "Bacterial small subunit ribosomal RNA", at positions 39 to 527 of the family's 1533-position model. The record is from RNAcentral. Lineage: Bacteria; Pseudomonadati; Bacteroidota; Sphingobacteriia.